Hyla sarda is the source of this 557-nucleotide long non-coding RNA. RefSeq lists it as uncharacterized. The transcript is spliced from 3 exons. NCBI's taxonomy places the organism in Eukaryota, Metazoa, Chordata, Amphibia, Anura, Hylidae. The record is from RefSeq and is a predicted model, not a curated record.
CUGGAUGUCGGGCAGAAUGGGGGGAGAAGAUGGAGUCCUGUACCUGAGGAGAAGAUGCGUGGGGCCCGGCGAUCAUCGCAGACACCCAGCGGAGAUCACGGCUCAGAGCUCCGUUCCCUACUCCCCAUCGCUUCCAAGUUGAAUGCCACUGUGGCCACUGAUUUGCUAAGUUAGCCUAUGAUGUCACGUUCCCAGACCUGAAAUGAUGCUCAGCAGUGGGCAGCGCUCUAUGACACUAUUGGCGGCAGGAAAACAAGGAAGGCUCCCAUAUGUUUCUGGCAUAGCGAGACAGGAUAAGAGGCUGCCCCUAAACUCUUGUCAUUGGGCAGCCUGAUGGGCUGACAGAUGAACCGCCCCCAUUUACAUCAGAUUCAACCAUCAACAUCUAUCUAAUGCACAUGGCCAGUUACUGCAUUGAAGAAUUCUGACAAGUUAUCCUACAAUUGUUUGUUUUGUUACAUAGAUAUAUGGAUGUGUGCUUGGUGGUGAUUAUUUUUCCCUUUCAGAUAUCAGCGUCAUUUCUGAGACUGAAGUUGGGCCGCACUACAAAAACGCUG